RNAcentral lists this ribosomal RNA (324 nucleotides) under uncultured eukaryote. RNAcentral's name for it is "partial 18S ribosomal RNA". It matches the Rfam family "Eukaryotic small subunit ribosomal RNA", at positions 1470 to 1796 of the family's 1831-position model. The record is from RNAcentral.
CCCUUAGAUGCUCUGGGCCGCACGCGCGCUACACUGGUCGAUGCAACGAGUUUCUUUCCUUGGCCGACAGGCCUGGGCAAUCUUUGAACAUCGAUCGUGAUCGGGAUAGAUUCUUGUAAUUUUUGAUCUUAAACGAGGAAUUCCUAGUAAACGCGAGUCAUCAGCUUGCAUUGAUUACGUCCCUGCCCUUUGUACACACCGCCCGUCGCACCUACCGAUUGAAUGGUCCGGUGAAAUCUCCGGACUGGCGUGAGUCGGAGCAAUCUGACAAACACCGGAAAGUUGAUUAAACCUUACCAUUUAGAGGAAGGUGAAGUCGUAACA